GGCUUGAGCUCCAGGUAAUCCUGGGGGAGGAUUUCCCUUCUGUGAUAAAGGAUGAAAGGUUUGUAAAAACGGUUGCAAAAACUGAGAGAUGCAAACCUGAGAGAAUGAUUGACAGGAGCAUGUGACUAAGGGUCACAUGGGAGCCUGAGCCUUGGGAUCUGGGAAAGUUUUAUGCCCAAUGGUGGCUUCAUCUGAGUCUGCUCUCCUGGAAGGACCUAAGGCUUGAAGAGGAUUUUUCCUGUGACCAACAGAGGAAAGAGGUUUUCUGGAUUUGGCUGCUGGACCUACUUGGACAUCUACCAACUGAAGAAUAGAUCCUGGCCCUAUUUGAUGGGACUCCUGCUGAGCCAGUACGAAGAAGGAGCAUAUUUAUGGUACUGUCUUCAUCUCUUGUGAGCAGCAUUAACCAAUGGUUCCUUAUUGUUGACCCUCUAUGGCUGUCAGGAGAUCCAUGAGGAAGAUGGAGCACAAAUUUUUGUUCAUGCAAAAAGGCACAGAAAAUCUCUGUAUAGGACAAAGUCCUUCAACAGUACUAGUAUUAGUGACAUGGCUGACUCCAUCAAAGGUGUUCAUUUACUUAAUACAUAUACAAGAAUCGGUGGUCUCAGGGACAGCUAGAUGGUUUGUUAAAUUAAGAACCAAGCGUAUGGAUGGAAGGUCCUGGGUUCAAGUAUGGUUUCAGAUACUUCCUGGUUCUUUCUCUGGAUGUGGAUAGCAUUCUUUCUAAUAAGUUCUUCUGGAUUGUCCUGGGUCAUUGCACUGCUGCUAGUAGAGAAGUCCAUCACCUUCGAUUGUACCACAGUGUAUCAGUCUCUGUGUACAAUGUUCUCCUGGUUCUGCUCCUUACACUCUGCAUCACUUCCUGGAGGUUGUUCCAGUUCACAUGGAAUCCUUCCAGUUCAUCAUUCCUUUCAGCACAAUAGUAUUACAUCAUCAUCAGAUACCACAAUUUGUUCAGCCAUUCCCCAAUCGAUGGAUGCCCCCUUCAUUUUCCAGUUUUUUGCCACCAUAAAGAGUGUGGCUAUAAAUAUUUUUGUACAGCUCUUUUCCUUUAUUAUUUCUUUGGGGUACAAACCCAGAAGUGGUAUGACUAAGUCAAAGGAUAGGCAGUCUUUUAAAGCCGGUUGGACAUAAUUCCAAAUUGCCCUCCUGAAUGGUUAGACCAAUUCACAAUUCCACCAGCAGUGCAUUUGUGUCUGAAUUUUGCUACAUUCCCUUCAACAUUUAUCAUUUUCCUUUGCUUCCAUAUAAGCCCAUCUGCUAGGUGUGAGGUGGUACCUCAGAGUUGUUUUGAUUUGCAUUUCUCUAAUCAAGAGGGAUUUAGAACACUUUUUCAUGUGCUUAUUGAUAGUUUUGUUUUCAUCAUGUGAAAACUGACUAUUUAAAAUUCCUUAUAAACUACAAGGUUUGACAUGAAAAUAUUUUUAUUUUACUUAUUAAUGUUGAAAAAGGCCCAGUAAAGUAAUCCUCUAGUGUCUCAAUGGAUAUAGUUUCUCUGCGUAUAUACCAACAGUGAAUAUCAACAACCAGGAAAGGAAACCAUAAUCACUUCUCAGAGAAUGAGUAGAUAAAAUUACCACUAAAACUUGGUAGUGAGUAGUAAUUUAGGGCAUUCUUUUCGUACAUAUGAUACAAGGAAAUGGAGUUAAUCUGUUACAUAUUUAUGACAUAUAUAAUAUAAAAAUGUGUUAACAAAAAAACAAAAUUUGCUAUUUACAAAGCAAAUGUGAUUUCAGUGAGUCACAGAAAGAACUAUAAAGAUUGAAACAGUGAAAUCAGCACAACCAAACAAUUAAAAGUAUGAAAUUAAUAUAAAAAAUUAAAUAAGUUAGGAACCAGAAGCUAAUAACACUGCUUGACAUUGGAGGAAAUUGCUGAUAAAAGAACUAAACAAUGGCAAAGGUAUUUCUCCCUUCUCUAUAAUCCACAAUGCAGUUUCAAUAAUUGUCUUAGAUUCUACAAGGUGGUCUUGAUUCCUAGACCAUUUGGGUGAAAAUGAUGAUUAAAAAGUCCCGAGAUUCUUUUGAAGUCAUCAAAAGAAGUAUAGUUGUCACAGUGGGAACAUAAAAUCUAUAUGCUUCCAGAACGGAGUUGAAGCAGCUUACAAAAUAAAACAUAUGGAUUAUGAAAAAUAAAAGCA
This 2140-nucleotide long non-coding RNA is filed under the name Monodelphis domestica (gray short-tailed opossum). RNAcentral's name for it is "lncRNA (ENSMODG00000029855.2)". The record is from RNAcentral. Lineage: Eukaryota; Metazoa; Chordata; Mammalia; Didelphimorphia; Didelphidae.